AUACUUACCUGGCAGGGGAGACGCCAUGGUCACCAAGGUGGUUUUCCCAGGACAAGGCUUAUCCAUUGCACUCCGGAUGUGUUGACCCCUGAGAUUUCCUCAAAUGUGGGAAACUCAACUGCACAAUUUGUGGUAGUGGGGGACUGCAUUCGCACUCUCCCCAA
This 164-nucleotide small nuclear RNA is filed under the name Myotis brandtii (Brandt's bat). Its description in RNAcentral is "U1 spliceosomal RNA". It matches the Rfam family "U1 spliceosomal RNA". Rfam says of the family: U1 is a small nuclear RNA (snRNA) component of the spliceosome (involved in pre-mRNA splicing). Its 5' end forms complementary base pairs with the 5' splice junction, thus defining the 5' donor site of an intron. The record is from Rfam by way of RNAcentral. Lineage: Eukaryota; Metazoa; Chordata; Mammalia; Chiroptera; Vespertilionidae.